UACGGAGGGUGCAAGCGUUAUCCGGAUUCACUGGGUUUAAAGGGUGCGUAGGUGGGUUGAUAAGUCAGUGGUGAAAUCCCCGAGCUUAACUUGGGAACUGCCGUUGAUACUAUCUGUCUUGAAUACUAUGGAGGUAAGCGGAAUAUGUCAUGUAGCGGUGAAAUGCUUAGAUAUGACAUAGAACACCAAUUGCGAAGGCAGCUUGCUACACAGUUAUUGACGCUGAGGCACGAAAGCGUGGGGAUCAAACAGG
Molecule: ribosomal RNA, 253 nt
Filed under: uncultured bacterium
Lineage: Bacteria
Description: partial 16S ribosomal RNA
Rfam family: Bacterial small subunit ribosomal RNA
Source: RNAcentral